This is a long non-coding RNA of Pecten maximus, 544 nucleotides long. RefSeq lists it as uncharacterized. The record is from RefSeq and is a predicted model, not a curated record. The transcript has 3 exons. Lineage: Eukaryota; Metazoa; Mollusca; Bivalvia; Pectinida; Pectinidae.
UAAGCCAAAACUGAUUUGCCCUUCCCUAUCAGACCUGGGCCUUGUGUAUGUAGGUGGUACCAUAGAUACAUCUGUCCCCAUCAGACCUGGGUAUAUAGGUGGUACCAUAGAUAUAUCGGUCCCCAUCAGACCUUGUGUAUGUAGGUGGUACCAUAGAUAUAUCUGUCCCCAUCAGACCUGGAUAUGUAGGUGGUACCAUAGAUAUACCUGUCCCCAUCAGAUCUGUGUAUGUAGGUGGUACUAUCCCCAUCAGACCUUGUGUAUGUAGGUGGUACCAUAGAUAUAUCUGUCCCCAUCAGACCUGGGUAUGUAGGUGGUACUAUCACCAUCAGUCGUGGGUAUGUAGGUGGUACUAUCACCAUCAGUCGUGGGUAUGUAGGUGGUACUAUCCCCAUCAGACCUGGGUAUGUAGGUGGUACUAUCCCCAUCAGACCUUGGUAUGUAGGUGGUACUAUCCCCAUCAGACCUGGGUAUGUAGGUGGUACUAUCACCAUCAGUCGUGGGUAUGUAGGUGGUACUAUCCCCAUCAGACCUGGGUAUGUAG